Molecule: ribosomal RNA, 274 nt
Filed under: uncultured bacterium
Lineage: Bacteria
Description: partial 16S ribosomal RNA
Rfam family: Bacterial small subunit ribosomal RNA
Source: RNAcentral
AUACGGAGGGUGCAAGCGUUAAUCGGAAUUACUGGGCGUAAAGCGCGCGUAGGCGGCUUGAUAAGUCGGAUGUGAAAUCCCCGGGCUUAACCUGGGAAUUGCAUUCGAUACUGUCAGGCUAGAGUGUGGUAGAGGGAAGUGGAAUUUCCGGUGUAGCGGUGAAAUGCGUAGAUAUCGGAAAGAACAUCAGUGGCGAAGGCGGCUUCCUGGAUCAACACUGACGCUGAGGUGCGAAAGCGUGGGGAGCAAACAGGAUUAGAAACCCGGGUAGUCC